UUUCCGUAGGUGAACCUGCGGAAGGAUCAUUAAUGAGUUGUCAUGGGGUUCGAUGCUGGCAGCCAAUUUUUGGAUGCAUGUGCUUGCCCUAACAAUCAUCUUCCAAACACCUGUGCACAUUUUUGAGGGAGUCUUGAGUUGUUUGCCGCUCUUGGGUGAUUUUCUCACAUUCCCUUAAAUCAUUAUACGCUAUUAACAAUGUUGAACGUGCUCUGUGCCGCAAGGCUAUUAAUAUAAUACAACUUUUAACAACGGAUCUCUUGGCUCUC
Molecule: unclassified non-coding RNA, 269 nt
Filed under: plant metagenome
Description: partial contains small subunit ribosomal RNA, internal transcribed spacer 1, and 5.8S ribosomal RNA
Source: RNAcentral